CCGCCAGAAACGCGAGGGAGGGGGGGUCCUGGCCAUGGCCGUCGUGGCCAUGGGAGCUGCUUCUGAGGCUGCUCCCUCGUUACCCUGUUUAAAUUUUUUGCACAUAUUUUCUAUUUUGUUUUGAUGUAAAUAUUAUCAGUGUUAAUUUAUUAGUAUUAAAUCUGUGCUACAUUUAUAUAGAUGGAUGACAACAGCAAGACUCGAGAUACGCUGAUAGUGCAAGCUGCUGGUUUGGUUGCUGUUUUGUGUGCAUAUAUGGCCACUAUAACUACAAGGGCUAGAAUUAGAAAUUAUCGUGCUCCAGUCCGUUAUGUUAUGCUUGAGAGAGACAUAGCUAGGUUGUCCAAUCUACGUUUUACUAUGAUACCAAUGAUAUAAAUUGCCAUGACCUACUAAGGAUGAAUAGGGCCCCAUUUUAUAACUUGUGUGCCUUGUUCCGUGACCGAAAGUUGCUGGAAGACAGCAUUCAUACCCCGUAUUUUAAGGUAAUAUGUUACCAUUUAGAAUUUUAUGGACAUGCUGGAUAACCAAAUUUUACAAAAUAUACCUCACCUCUUUUCCUAGGAUUGUGUUGGUGCAAUUGAUGGCACCCAUGUGCUUGCCAAGGUACCCGCUGCUAUUGCUUCGGCAUUUAGGGGAGUGAUGGCUGAGAUGGGGGCUGAUGGUGGGCAUGGUGGUGGGAAUCACCCAUUGCGUUGGACAUCUCCAAUGUCUGGUUUCAUGUUACGUCGAUUUGUAGAGCUCAUUGCUAGUGGAGUGAAGACUGACAAAGGCUUUAAGGAGGUGCACUUAAACCAGGUGGCUAAGAAUUGUAGUGACCACUUUGGUCUUGCAAUAACCGGGACCCAAGUCUACAACCACCUCCGCAAGUCGCGUGCUAGGUGGGUGAAGAUUAGUAAGCUUUGAGACAUUAGUGGGUCACUUUGGGAUGAUACUAACUGUGUCAUAUCACUGAAGGAAGAGCACUAUCUGGGCCAUAUCAAGGACCAUCCCAAAGAUGUUGAGUACCUCAGUGUGCCUUUAGAGAACUAUGUUCAAAUGCUUGCUAUCUUUGGGACUGGUAUUGCUACAGGGAGGUAUGCAAUGACAUCUAAUGAGGCUCUUGGGGUUGCUUCAAUGGUGGGAACCUCCCCAUCGGUUGUCAACAUUGAAGGUUCUGGUUUUGAAUUUGUUGUUGAUGGGAAUGAACCUGACUCGAGUGCUACUGCUGCUGCUCAUGGGGAAGCUGCUGUUGCUCAUUCCACUGGUAAAAGGAAGAGGGCUAGCCUCAUGAGCGAAGAAGAAGUUUUGGUCAUGACCAACAUGUCUGAAGCAGUCCGUGAAGUUGCUAAUGCUAUCAAGUCCACUACAGAGGCACAUCCUGAACUUUAUGAUGCUGUGAUGGAGCUCCCUGGUUUUAGUGAGGAUGAUCUAUUGAUUAUCUUGGAUUAUCUCAAUGAGAGUGCCAACAGGGCUAGGAGCCACUCAUUCGUGCAGAUGACGGAGACUCGCCGCACUCGUUGGGUCAUUCACCACCUUUCCAAGCUCAAGGAUGAUGUGCCCAAGGGUGGAGUGUGAGCAAAUCUUUGCUGAUUAACUAGUUGACCAUAUUUUAUUCCAUUUGGUCAGAAAAACAAUGCCCCUAUAUAUAUGUGAUGUAUGGAAUGUAACUUAAAUCUUAUGUGAUGCUUAUGCGAUGUACUGGAUUAAUA
Molecule: long non-coding RNA, 1691 nt
Organism: Hordeum vulgare subsp. vulgare (domesticated barley)
Lineage: Eukaryota; Viridiplantae; Streptophyta; Magnoliopsida; Poales; Poaceae
Exons: 3
Source: RefSeq, a predicted model, not a curated record